Molecule: long non-coding RNA, 989 nt
Organism: Amphimedon queenslandica
Lineage: Eukaryota; Metazoa; Porifera; Demospongiae; Haplosclerida; Niphatidae
Exons: 2
Source: RefSeq, a predicted model, not a curated record
GCAAUUCUAAAUUUAGUAUGCCUCAUUGCUUUACGUAAAUUACCAUCAUGCAAAAUAAACCAGAUUUAUGGUAAUAGGCAGUAGACACUAUUAAAAGUGAUCUUAAUAACUCUGCUUAAUCAAUGGGCAUCAUCAAAUCAACUAUCAUUUAAUUGUUCUAAAACUAAAUUUAUGAUUUUCUCCCACAAGCCUCAAUUUAUACUUUUGAUCACCUUCCCCUUCACCUAAAAGAUUCUCUAAUUGAACGUGUGCUUUAAUUUAAAUACCUGGGACUACAUUUCACAUGCAAUCUUUCAUGGAAUCUUCAUAUCUCUUCAGUAAAAAAGGCCCAUAAAGUCAAGGGCGUAAGGAGAAAAAAAGGAAGGGAUAGGCUACGAGUAGAAAAGGGCGCGAAGCGCGCCGCCGAUUUGGCCACGCCCACUUUUACGGCCACGAAAUGGGCACAUUCUCGCAAUAUGAAGUUUCCUUUACUCUAAUAUCUAUGGUUCUCGCAACUGCUUCACACUCAGACUCAGAUGAGGACUCAGGCAAGACUCAAGGUAGCAGCACAAUCAACAAAAUCAUCAUUCACAAGAUUAUCAUCUUCAAUCUCCUCAUGCUCAUCUUCAGUACAAAUAGUCUAUAUGGGGGUUGACUACUAAUAUACUCAACUAAAUUUUGCAUAAAAAAUGACAAAGCUUUUGUUUCUUUGCAGCUGACAUUGUGUUGGCUUCACUUAAAGUUAACUUUUUAUAAUUUUAUUAAGCUAGCUAAUUAAUUAAGUUAAUUAUGUAAAGACUCCACCUUAAUAAAUUAUAAUAAUUGUGCUAAAAUGGCUGUUUUUCUUUUCUUUCUCCUGUCUCUGUUUGCCUGUGUCAAAAGUGACUGAGUGAGUAACUGCCAGUUGAGACAGCUGCCCUAAACUUCUAUAAUCUUUGAUCAUAAGUGACUAAGGCAGAAACUCAAUAUAGGCUAUAGCCUACCAUAGCCUUAUGCUAGCUACGCCCUUG